This 2013-nucleotide unclassified non-coding RNA is filed under the name Acyrthosiphon pisum (pea aphid). RNAcentral describes it as "leucine-rich repeat-containing protein 55, transcript variant X3". Lineage: Eukaryota; Metazoa; Arthropoda; Insecta; Hemiptera; Aphididae. The record is from RNAcentral.
UAUUUAUCUUGCGCUUGAAAUUGUUGACUUUGUUUUGCGUGCUACAUGAACUAAUGCCUACAUAGGUACCUACGCCUCUAUUCAUAAAUUGGAAUUCAACUAGAAUUAAUAGUAAUUUUUCUAUCCAUAAACAUGUUCAUGAAAAACGUUGCAUCAUGUAUGCUAAUUAUCAUUGCAACUUGUGUAGUUGGUGGUGAAAGUAUUUUAUGCGAUACUUGCACGUGUAAAAAUUCCAUAAUAAAUUGCACAGAAAAUGGAUUGAUAGACAUUCUAGACCUAUGGGACCAUACAGAGGUUGUAAAGGAUGCAACCCUCAUGCAUUUUGAUCAUAAUGGCAUUGUACACGUGAAACAGUUGCCACCGUCUAAAGUUAGAUACUUAUCACUUCGACAAAAUAAGAUAAACAAAAUAGAUGAAAUGGCAUUUAUAAACUUAAAGUUACUAUUGGAACUCGACUUGAGCUACAAUUCUUUGACGGCGGAAAGUCUAAAUCCCGAUAUUUUCAAGAUUAAUAUCGAAGAUACUUCUAGACCAGGUAGCCUGAUUCAUUUACGCCUUGAUUACAACAAUAUCCAUUCGCUGUUGCCACAUACUUUCAAAGAACUCAGUAACCUUGUUUCACUGACACUAGCAGGAAAUCCUUUAACAGUCAUUGAUCGACCAACUAGUUUCGCACUGUCUUCAUUGCCCAUGUUAAAAGUCUUAAAUUUGUCUAAUACAUCAUUACACGAGUUGCCAAAUCAUCUUUUACACACACCUCGAUUUUUAGAAAUAUUAAAUCUGUCAAAUAACGAAUUCACACAAAUUCCACAAGGGCUGGACGAAGCACACGCGUUACAGAGAUUAGAUUUUAGUUCUAAUCCGAUAAAAAGCAUUUUGGGUUUCCCAAAAAUGGCAUCGUUAAAAGUACUCCAUUUAUCUCACAUGCCAGAACUAAACAUUAUCGGACCACGUGCUUUAAGUCUUCUUAAUGUUCUUGAGGAAUUUCAUUGCACGCAUAAUAAUAAACUCAAAUCAAUAGACCCGACUGCGUUUAGCUACAAAUUGAAUGACGGAUCAGAAGGUGAAUUGUGGCCUCGCAUUGUCAAAUUAGAUUUGAGUUACAACGCUUUAGGAUACUUGGAUAGCCGCUUGUUGAAUAGGUGGGACACGUUAGAAGAAUUGAACUUACAAGGCAACAAGUGGAUAUGUGAUUGUGUAAAUCAAUGGCUCGUGUCUACUUUAGCUCCAAUGGCAGAAUCAAGACAUCCGGAAUUCCUUAAUGAUUUCACUUGUCAAGAGCCAAUUGAAAUGAGUGGAAUUUCGAUUCUUGAUUUAGAUCAUCGCCAUUACCAUAUGCGGUGUUUGGAUUUCUACAAUAACCGUCCCGAAAGAGACGGUAUAUUGUUAAUAGGAAUACUGAUUGGCGUUAUAUUGACAGUACCAUUUACAAUGGGAAUUAUGAUGUGCUGUGCAAAACGGAAAAAUUCACUUUCAUACUAUCAUAGGAUAUUUAAUCAAAAUAAACCGUAUGCACAUGACUAUCAACUAAGGGAAACAUCAAUAUACCAGCCAACUUCAAUAAUCACCGAUGGAUAUUAACUUGUAAACUUGUAAACUUGUACUUACUUAUUAGUUUAUUUUUAAAAGUUUUUAUCAUAUUUUCUAAAAUAAUUAAUUUACAACGACGUAUUGGAUAAAGGUUUAUGGCGUAAACAGUGCUGGAUAAACGGGGCAGGGAAAAUAGGGCAGUGCCUCGGCGUAAAAUGUGUAUAGGGGUGGCCAAUUUUGAAGGUACAAUCGUUGUAAGGGUAUAACUGUAUGAGUAUUCGUUAACAAGGCAAUGGGUAUAAGACUUACUAUAAUAAAAAUCACGUUGGGUUCUAUCAAUGCGUUCAAUGGAUAGGAUUCCUUCAUUGCAGUGUGUUUUUUAUCUAAUAUAUUAUGUUAUUUAUUAUUAUUAUGUUUAUAAAAAUGCUAUAAAAUAUUAAAUAAUGCUGGUGUUUGAAAUAUAGAUUGUAAGUGUUUCCAAUA